GCAUUCAUGCUGACUGAGCAGCUGGAGCAGCCAGCACCAUCGCAGAUGACAAAAGAAUUGGAAUGCAAGGUAAUUGUUCUCCUGAGUGACCUCAUAGAACAGAGUCCAGCACAUCACCUGGGACAGUACAGCGAGAGGCGGUCCCUGAUGGGUUCUGUUCUGUGGCUGCAUUCUGUCUGCUCCUCCUCUUAGGCUCCAUCAUCACCUUUUGAAUCCCUUGGAAUUACCAGGACCCUUCCAGCUGGCCUCCAGGGGAUCGUCUGAGCCCUGAUGGUCCUUCCAAAACAUUCCUUCGACUGAAGACAACCAAAAUGACGCAUACACAGAUGGUGAAUUCAUAUGAAAAUGGCUAUUGAAAUGGUGCUAUCAGGAAAAGAUUCCAUGCUUCUCAUCAUGAUGCGGAAAGAAUUCCUUUGGGAUUGACUCGUCCCCCAGACCUGUGUCCUGGCUCAAUCUCUCUAAGAAUAAGCAACUUCAGGUUUCCUGGGACGAUGAUCCUGUUGCAGUCACAGUGACUCCAGAAGCUUCAACCUGUCUAAAAUAUAAA
Non-coding RNA from Myodes glareolus (Bank vole), 547 nucleotides. The record is from RefSeq and is a predicted model, not a curated record. Lineage: Eukaryota; Metazoa; Chordata; Mammalia; Rodentia; Cricetidae.